AUUGAACGCUAGCGGCAUGCCUUACACAUGCAAGUCGAACGGCAGCACGGGGGCAACCUGGUGGCGAGUGGCGAACGGGUGAGUAAUGCAUCGGAACGUGCCCAUCGAUGGGGGAUAACUGCGCGAAAGCGUUGCUAAUACCGCAUACGACCUACGGGUGAAAGCAGGGGACCGCAAGGCCUUGCGUCGAUGGAGCGGCCGAUGCCGGAUUAGCUAGUUGGUGAGGUAAAGGCUCACCAAGGCGACGAUCCCGUAGCUGGUCUGAGAGGACGACCAGCCACACUGGGACUGAGACACGGCCCAGACUCCUACGGGAGGCAGCAGUGGGGAAUCUUGGACAAUGGGCGAAAGCCUGAUCCAGCAAUGCCGCGUGUGGGAAGAAGGCCCUCGGGUUGUAAACCACUUUUGGCGGGAAAGAAAUGGUCUGUGCUAAUACCACGGAUUGAUGACGGUACCCGCAGAAUAAGCACCGGCUAACUACGUG
This 484-nucleotide ribosomal RNA is filed under the name uncultured bacterium. RNAcentral's name for it is "bacterial SSU rRNA". It matches the Rfam family "Bacterial small subunit ribosomal RNA", at positions 29 to 507 of the family's 1533-position model. The record is from RNAcentral.